AAUCUUGGACAAUGGGCGAAAGCCUGAUCCAGCCAUGCCGCGUGAGUGAUGAAGGCCUUAGGGUUGUAAAGCUCUUUCGCCAGGGAAGAUAAUGACGGUACCUGGAUAAGAAGCCCCGGCUAACUCCGUGCCAGCAGCCGCGGUAAUACGGAGGGGGCUAGCGUUGUUCGGAAUUACUGGGCGUAAAGCGCACGUAGGCGGCUUUUCAAGUUGGGGGUGAAAUCCCCGGGCUUAACCCGGGAACUGCCUCCAAAACUGAAAAGCUCGAGUCCGAGAGAGGUGAGUGGAAUUUCCAGUGUAGAGGUGAAAUUCGUAGAUAUUGGAAAGAACACCAGUGGCGAAGGCGGCUCACUGGCUCGGUACUGACGCUGAGGUGCGACAGCGUGGGGAGCAAACAGG
RNAcentral lists this ribosomal RNA (399 nucleotides) under uncultured bacterium. RNAcentral describes it as "partial 16S ribosomal RNA". It matches the Rfam family "Bacterial small subunit ribosomal RNA", at positions 360 to 776 of the family's 1533-position model. The record is from RNAcentral.